CUUGAGUGCGUCGGCUUCCGGAGCUAACGCGUUAAAUCGACCGCCUGGGGAGUACGGCCGCAGGGUUAAAACUCAAAUGAAUUGACGGGGGCCCGCACAAGCGGUGGAGCAUGUGGUUUAAUUCGAUGCAACGCGAAAAACCUUACCUACUCUUGACAUCCAGAGAACUUUCCAGAGAUGCAUUGGUGCCUUCGGGAACUCUGAGACAGGUGCUGCAUGGCUGUCGUCAGCUCGUGUUGUGAAAUGUUGGGUUAAGUCCCGCAACGAGCGCAACCCUUAUCCUUUGUUGCCAGCGGUUCGGCCGGGAACUCAAAGGAGACUGCCGGUGAAAACUGGAGGAAGGUGGGGAUGACGUCAAGUCAUCAGGGCCCUUACGAGUAGGGCUACACACGUGCUACAAUGGCGGAUACAAAGAGAAGCGAACUCGCGAGAGUAAGCGGACCUCUAAAAGUACUUCCUAUUCCGGAUUGGAGUCUGCAACUCGACUCCUUGAAGUCGGAAUCGCUGGUAAUCGUGAAUCACAAUGCUACGGUAAAUACUUUCCCGGGCCUUGUACACACCGCCCGUCACACCAUGGGAGUGGGUUGCAAAAGAAGUAGGUAGCUUAACCUUCGGGAGGGCGCUUACCACUUUGUGAUUCAUGACUGGGGUG
Molecule: ribosomal RNA, 652 nt
Filed under: Serratia ureilytica
Lineage: Bacteria; Pseudomonadati; Pseudomonadota; Gammaproteobacteria; Enterobacterales; Yersiniaceae
Description: bacterial SSU rRNA
Rfam family: Bacterial small subunit ribosomal RNA
Source: RNAcentral